AUUGGACAAUGGUCGGAAGACUGAUCCAGCCAUGCCGCGUGCAGGAUGACGGCCUUAUGGGUUGUAAACUGCUUUUAUACAGGAAGAAUAAGGUCUACGAGUAGAUUGAUGACGGUACUGUAUGAAUAAGCAUCGGCUAACUCCGUGCCAGCAGCCGCGGUAAUACGGAGGAUGCGAGCGUUAUCCGGAAUCAAAGGGUUUAAAGGGUCCGUAGGCGGGCUUAUAAGUCAGAGGUGAAAGCACUGAGCUCAACUGAGUAACUGCCUUUGAAACUGUAGGUCUUGAAUGUUUGUGAAGUAUCUGGAAUGUGUAGUGUAGCGGUGAAAUGCAUAGAUAUUACACAGAACACCGAUUGCGAAGGCAUGUUACUAACAAAUUAUUGACGCUGAUGGACGAAAGCGUGGGGAGCGAACAGGAUUAGAUACCCUGGUAGUCCACCCUGUAAACGAUGGAUACUAGCUGUUUGGAAGUAAUAUUGAGUGGCUAAGCGAAAGUGAUAAGUAUCCCACCUGGGGAGUACGCACGCAAGUGUGAAACUCAAAGGAAUUGACGGGGGCCCGCACAAGCGGUGGAGCAUGUGGUUUAAUUCGAUGAUACGCGAGGAACCUUACCAAGGUUUAAAUGGGAAACGACGUAUCUAGAGAUAGAUAUUUCUUCGGACGUUUUUCAAGGUGCUGCAUGGUUGUCGUCAGCUCGUCCCGUGAGGUGUCAGGUUAAGUCCUAUAACGAGCGCAACCCCUGCUGUUAGUUGCUAGCGAGUCAAGUCGAGCACUCUAACGGGACUGCCGGUGCAAACCGUGAGGAAGGUGGGGAUGACGUCAAAUCAUCACGGCCCUUACAUCUUGGGCUACACACGUGCUACAAUGGCCGGUACAGCGAGCAGCCACUGCGUGAGCAGGAGCGAAUCUAUAAAGCCGGUCACAGUUCGGAUCGGAGUCUGCAACUCGACUCCGUGAAGCUGGAAU
This 965-nucleotide ribosomal RNA is filed under the name Capnocytophaga canimorsus. RNAcentral describes it as "bacterial SSU rRNA". It matches the Rfam family "Bacterial small subunit ribosomal RNA", at positions 363 to 1332 of the family's 1533-position model. Lineage: Bacteria; Pseudomonadati; Bacteroidota; Flavobacteriia; Flavobacteriales; Flavobacteriaceae. The record is from RNAcentral.